This 506-nucleotide ribosomal RNA is filed under the name uncultured bacterium. Its description in RNAcentral is "partial 16S ribosomal RNA". It matches the Rfam family "Bacterial small subunit ribosomal RNA", at positions 30 to 523 of the family's 1533-position model. The record is from RNAcentral.
AUUGAACGCUAGCGGUAUGCUUAACACAUGCAAGUCGAACGGCAGCACGGUCGUAGCAAUACGAUGGGUGGCGAGUGGCGGACGGGUGAGUAAUGCAUAGGAAUCUGCCUUGUAGUGGGGGAUAACCCGGGGAAACUCGGGCUAAUACCGCAUAAUCUUUACGAAGCAAAGUGGGGGACCGUAAGGCCUCACGCUAUAAGAUGAGCCUAUGUCGGAUUAGCUAGUUGGUAGGGUAAAGGCCUACAAAGGCAACGAUCCGUAGCUGGUCUGAGAGGGUGAUCGGACACACUGGGACUGAGCAACGGCCCAGACUCCUACGGGAGGCAGCAGUGGGGAAUAUUGGACAAUGGGCGCAAGCCUGAUCCAGCAAUACCGUGUGUGUGAAGAAGGCCUUAGGGUUGUAAAGCACUUUUAGUGGGAAAGAAAAGCUCAUGGUUAAUAUCCAUGAGUGCUGACGUUACCCACAGAAAAAGCACUGGCUAACUCUGUGCCAGCCGCCGCGGUAA